UUUUCCUAAAAUGUAUAUAUUAAAAUAAUAUCAUCACAUGUAAAACCAAUUAACUAAUUUGACUUAAAACAGAAUUCAAUCAAAUUUUCACUCGAAAAAUAAACGCGGCUUCUUAGCAGGCAUGGGACUUUCCACUUCUUGUUCAAUCGGAUGUUGAGUUCUACCUCCGCAGUCAAUUGUCAGAUCCAAUUGCCAUCCCGGCGAGGCAGGCAUGUUUAGGUCAAAGUCACGCGCAAUCGGAGUCGACGCGCCGCCGCCGCCGUUGCCGCUUCCGCCGUCUGAUGUAGUCACAACGCUUCCACUAUGAACGCCUCCGCCUUCUCCGCCACCGCCGAUAUAACGAUUGUUACCGCCGAGUUUACCUUCGUAGUGGCGGCGUUUGUGUCCACCCAAAGCUUGUCCAGUUGGAAAAGCCUUUUGACAAAUAGAGCACACGUGAGAACGGCCACUCGGAUUCAGAGCAGAGAUAUUAACGCCGCCGCCGCUAGUGGAAGUAGACGUCGACGGAUUGCUAUCAUCGUCUCCGGUGGCGGGAACGUUAAUUUUACGGUGACUUGCUUUAUGCCCACCAAGUGCUUGAUAAGAAGUAAAAACUUUAGGACACUCGCUACACCUGAAUAAUUGCUCUGUUUUUUCUUUAACAACAACCGGCUUCAGUAAUUGCUCUGUUUUUUCUUUAU
This 680-nucleotide unclassified non-coding RNA is filed under the name Hevea brasiliensis (rubber tree). The record is from RNAcentral. Lineage: Eukaryota; Viridiplantae; Streptophyta; Magnoliopsida; Malpighiales; Euphorbiaceae.